UACGUAGGGUGCAAGCGUUGUCCGGAAUUAUUGGGCGUAAAGAGCUCGUAGGCGGUUUGUUGCGUCGGCUGUGAAAUCCCGAGGCUCAACCUCGGGUCUGCAGUCGAUACGAGCAAACUGGAGUGUUGCAGGGGAGACUGGAAUUCCUGGUGUAGCGGUGAAAUGCGCAGAUAUCAGGAGGAACACCGGUGGCGAAGGCGGGUCUCUGGGUAACAACUGACGCUGAGGAGCGAAAGCGUGGGGAGCGAACAGG
Molecule: ribosomal RNA, 253 nt
Filed under: uncultured bacterium
Lineage: Bacteria
Description: partial 16S ribosomal RNA
Rfam family: Bacterial small subunit ribosomal RNA
Source: RNAcentral